UUCUCUCUCUCGUUCUCCCAGUGAGUUUCCCUGUUUCUACCACCACCACCAUCGUUAUCCUCAAGAUCAAAACCAAACCUUAUUGUCGUCGUCGUCGAGGAAGAAAGUAUAAUGAAUGCUGGAGAUUUGAUUUUUUUCUGUAAAUGAAUGUGACUGGAAGAUAUUGUGUUUUGGUUGGUUCAGAACUAAGAUGAGAUGAUCAUGUUAGCUAGGCAGGCUCUCUGAACCAUACAAGGAAAUUGGAGAGUGUUUUGGAAGAAUAAUCAAGGAAGAAGGGUUUGGGGCCAUUGCGGAGAGGAAACACAGGCAAUGUCAUAUGUUACUUCCCUACCCAGGCCUUGAAAUUUGCAUAGUUUCAAGAAGGAUAGAGAUGGCUACUGUAAUUUGCUGGUAACUUGGCAUUUGAAUGCGCUGCUGGUGCUUCUUCAGAUGAAGUAAGUGGUGGACUUGAAAAAAGGCUGAGGUGGGGAACAAAUUUGUUAGCAAGAAAUCGAUGUUGUUCUUACUUCAUCUGAUCAAUGGCAAGUUCUUGUUUCAUUGAUUAAAUAUGUUUUUGGAUCUCCAUAGUCUCAGCAAGAACUCUCUAUUGCUCCUCCUGGUUCAACCAUCUCUUAUUGAGGUUGAGCUUGUAUCUUUCAUUAAGGGUAUAGAAUCGUGGGACAUGGACAAUGGUGAGAAGAUUGUAGCUGCUGUCAAAAAGAAGAAAAAAAGGUAGUGCAAGAUAUGUGAGACCAAUUAUUAAAGUAUAAUGAUCCAGGGAAAGUAGUCGAGUGUGACCAAGUAUUUCUUUUCUUGUUUAUAAGGUUAGGCUGCAAAAUUUGUUGAGUACAAUUCUUCAUUAAGUGAAGAGCAGAAAAACAAAGCUAAGACUCUCAAGGUCAUCUGCAACCUUAAGAACACAUCAUGCAAGCUGAAAAUUAAAAGCUACAAGGAGGCCAAGAAGCUUUGCACACAGGUCUCAACUUUAACCCUUCUUCUGAAAAAUUUUAGUUAUAUUAAGUGUAUGUUUUAGCUUCUGUGCUAUUGAGGUUGAAUUUUUGUAAUUUUAUCUUUAGUUUUAUUCUAAACUGCUUUCGGAUGUAGUAGAUUUAUUAUAUGUAUUGAAAAUGCGGGGGUCUAACAACCACACCCAAUAUU
Molecule: long non-coding RNA, 1137 nt
Organism: Papaver somniferum (opium poppy)
Lineage: Eukaryota; Viridiplantae; Streptophyta; Magnoliopsida; Ranunculales; Papaveraceae
Exons: 5
Source: RefSeq, a predicted model, not a curated record